CAGUAGCCGCGGUAAGACAGAGGGUGCGAGCGUUAAUCGGAAUUACUGGGCGUAAAGCGUGCGCAGGCGGUUUUGUAAGACAGGCGUGAAAUCCCCGGGCUCAACCUGGGAAUGGCGCUUGUGACUGCAAAGCUAGAGUGCGGCAGAGGGGGAUGGAAUUCCGCGUGUAGCAGUGAAAUGCGUAGAUAUGCGGAGGAACACCGAUGGCGAAGGCAAUCCCCUGGGCCUGCACUGACGCUCAUGCACGAAAGCGUGGGGAGCAAGCAGGAUUAGAUACCCCUGUAGUCCCUGUCUCUUAUAC
This 301-nucleotide ribosomal RNA is filed under the name uncultured bacterium. RNAcentral describes it as "partial 16S ribosomal RNA". It matches the Rfam family "Bacterial small subunit ribosomal RNA", at positions 509 to 807 of the family's 1533-position model. The record is from RNAcentral.